CAUGCAAGUCGAGCGGUAGAGAGAAGCUUGCUUCUCUUGAGAGCGGCGGACGGGUGAGUAAUGCCUAGGAAUCUGCCUGGUAGUGGGGGAUAACGUUCGGAAACGGACGCUAAUACCGCAUACGUCCUACGGGAGAAAGCAGGGGACCUUCGGGCCUUGCGCUAUCAGAUGAGCCUAGGUCGGAUUAGCUAGUUGGUGAGGUAAUGGCUCACCAAGGCGACGAUCCGUAACUGGUCUGAGAGGAUGAUCAGUCACACUGGAACUGAGACACGGUCCAGACUCCUACGGGAGGCAGCAGUGGGGAAUAUUGGACAAUGGGCGAAAGCCUGAUCCAGCCAUGCCGCGUGUGUGAAGAAGGUCUUCGGAUUGUAAAGCACUUUAAGUUGGGAGGAAGGGUUGUAGAUUAAUACUCUGCAAUUUUGACGUUACCGACAGAAUAAGCACCGGCUAACUCUGUGCCAGCAGCCGCGGUAAUACAGAGGGUGCAAGCGUUAAUCGGAAUUACUGGGCGUAAAGCGCGCGUAGGUGGUUCGUUAAGUUGGAUGUGAAAGCCCCGGGCUCAACCUGGGAACUGCAUUCAAAACUGACGAGCUAGAGUAUGGUAGAGGGUGGUGGAAUUUCCUGUGUAGCGGUGAAAUGCGUAGAUAUAGGAAGGAACACCAGUGGCGAAGGCGACCACCUGGACUGAUACUGACACUGAGGUGCGAGAGCGUGGGGAGCAAAC
Molecule: ribosomal RNA, 724 nt
Filed under: Pseudomonas sp.
Lineage: Bacteria; Pseudomonadati; Pseudomonadota; Gammaproteobacteria; Pseudomonadales; Pseudomonadaceae
Description: bacterial SSU rRNA
Rfam family: Bacterial small subunit ribosomal RNA
Source: RNAcentral